RNAcentral lists this ribosomal RNA (253 nucleotides) under uncultured bacterium. RNAcentral describes it as "partial 16S ribosomal RNA". It matches the Rfam family "Bacterial small subunit ribosomal RNA", at positions 524 to 776 of the family's 1533-position model. The record is from RNAcentral.
GACAGAGGUUCCAAGCGUUAGGCGGAAUCACUGGGCUUAAAGCGUGUGUAGGCGGAUCGUUAAGUGCCUUGUGAAAUCCCACGGCUUAACCGUGGAACUGCUCGGCAUACUGGCGGUCUUGAGCCAGCUAGGGGCUACCGGAACAAAUGGUGGAGCGGUGAAAUGCGUAGAUAUCAUUUGGAACGCCAAUGGUGAAAACAGGUAGCUGGGGCUGUGCUGACGCUGAGACACGAAAGCCAGGGGAGCGAACGGA